UACGAAGGGUGCAAGCGUUACUCGGAAUUACUGGGCGUAAAGCGUGCGCAGGCGGUGAUGUAAGACAGAUGUGAAAUCCCCGGGCUUAACCUGGGAACUGCAUUUGUGACUGCAUCGCUGGAGUGCGGCAGAGGGGGAUGGAAUUCCGCGUGUAGCAGUGAAAUGCGUAGAUAUGCGGAGGAACACCGAUGGCGAAGGCAAUCCCCUGGGCCUGCACUGACGCUCAUGCACGAAAGCGUGGGGAGCAAACAGG
This 253-nucleotide ribosomal RNA is filed under the name uncultured bacterium. RNAcentral's name for it is "partial 16S ribosomal RNA". It matches the Rfam family "Bacterial small subunit ribosomal RNA", at positions 524 to 776 of the family's 1533-position model. The record is from RNAcentral.